UUACUGCGUUACCUCGCAUUGUGUGUUGUGUGUCGCGGUUACUGACGUAAGCGCAAGUUCUUCACUGAGUAUGAUCCGCGGCACCGUGCAAGUAGUCUCCAGAUGCCGGCCGUGCGACUCCGUUCUCUUCGACUCCUUUGUUCGGUGUGAUCGAGGGACGUGAUUCAUAGCUUUGCAGACCCUCUUUACACCGUGCCCUCUUCAAAUGUUUCCACACAUCAGUGAGCAGCAGCACCGCAAUCCUUACUCGAUGACACGCUCUGUGGGCCUGGAAAAUGCCUUGACGUUCGAGCACUUCGGGAGCUGUACCGGCGGACAGCCGGACGCGGGUAGCUUGGCCGUUCCUUGCUCUGCGCAUCGCUUGAAAACCGGCGGUCAUCCUGCAGUGUACGCUGCCAGCGUGCUUUCUUGCCAGAGCCGCCUCCCCUGCUGGUGAUGACCAUAUGCAGCCAAUGCUGAUGUGAACCCGAGUGAUGAACAAAUGCAGAUCUGCAAAGGAGCUGUCCUGAGGCACCAUGCUUACUCAAGUCAUGCAGCGAGAGUCAGCAUGCCUGGAAAAGUACUUCAAAA
This is a long non-coding RNA of Rhipicephalus sanguineus (brown dog tick), 570 nucleotides long. RefSeq lists it as uncharacterized. NCBI's taxonomy places the organism in Eukaryota, Metazoa, Arthropoda, Arachnida, Ixodida, Ixodidae. The record is from RefSeq and is a predicted model, not a curated record. The transcript is spliced from 4 exons.